Long non-coding RNA from Panthera uncia (snow leopard), 2447 nucleotides. RefSeq lists it as uncharacterized. Lineage: Eukaryota; Metazoa; Chordata; Mammalia; Carnivora; Felidae. The record is from RefSeq and is a predicted model, not a curated record. The transcript is spliced from 3 exons.
GCACCCCCCCAUGUAACCAUUCAAAAAAUAUUUAUUGACUGAAUGAAUUUCUUCUCAGCCUGAGUGUCAGCUCUGACAAAUAACACAUUGUACUGGAAAGAGAGCCACGUGUCCUGCGUUCUCGGCCUUUCUCUGCCACCAGCUAUGGAAUUUUGUUAAACGACUGGGUUGACUUUGUGCUAUUUAAAGACUGACCGGUCCGGCUCCAUCACACCGCGAUCAUAGGAAAUUCAUACCAUGAGGCAGCCCCUGCCGGUGUGGGGCUCUGAAGACAUUAGAUUUUUUUCUUCUGGGGAAACAAAUUUAGCUUUUCUAAAAAAGAAAAAUUGGAACCAAAGUUGAAACCAGACAGUUUCUAUUCUUUCUACUGGUUUGAAGAUCUGCUUCCUUUGGAAACUUACUCUGAAGAGUGCCAGGCGUGGUCUGAGUGCUUUGAUCCUCCAGUGGGCAGGUAUCAUUAUUGUCUUCACUCUGCAGAGAAGAAAACAGGCGUUGGGAGUUCCACAAUUUGCCUAAAGCAAUGGAAACUGAAAUGCAGAAAAGAUAAGGAAUACAAAGCUUUCACCACUAAUGAAUGCAGAAUUGGGCUUGUGACUUAACAGCUAACAUAUAAACAUCAUAGUUCUUACUACUGGUGGUCACGAAGACAAGCACUGGAAGAGGCAUAUGUAAAACUGAGCAAAACCAGACAACACAAGGAGAGUGUAAACUAGAAAACAUGAAUCAGCUCUUAUUACGGGAAUCACAACAGGAACAGAAAAUGGCACAUUGAUCAUCUAUUCUUGAGACAAUGGCUAAACUGAGAGCCGAAGCACCACAAAAGCAACUUCCUUCUUCCUGCAGUUGGCUGCAUGUAUCUAUGAACAAAGUGAAGAAUAUGAGAAGGCAACCCAGAAAUGAAUUCAACAUCAAAGACCAGCCUCGCUGCUUAUUUAGAACCCACGUCAUGCAUGACUCAGGUAAGACCCAGCAAUAAGAACCUUCAUGGAGCCAGCCAAGAAAUACCAUGACUGAAAUGAAUUGUUGACUCCUAUAUCUCAUCAUUUGAUUUCUCUGUCACUGGGCCCUUUGUCACGUGUUUUGAAAAGCAAAACUGUAACUAUUCUUGUUACGACUUUCCAUGAAAAAUGAAGUGCUAUGUUCUUCUGGCACCAGUUAUGUGUCUGUCCCUUUUCUAUAAAGUGAAAAAGCCCGACCCCAAAAAGUGUUGAAGUUUAAAGAAAGUCUGUGGGGAACUAGAGGCUUCUGGCAUGGGAAAAUGAGCUGAACUCCCUUGGAGUAUUGACCAUGCUUCCUGGUUUGACCCUCAGUUUCGUAAAUCCAGAAACUCAAUUUGUAAUCCCCCAGAGUUCAUCAGGCUCAUGUUGACUUAACCAUGUAGGCUACUUCAUGCUGCAAUAUAAGCAGAAUGCUAGUUUAUUAAUUUGUAAAGAGAAAUACUGCUACAGGCUGAUUCCAGAGUCUAAUUAAUGGGAUAGCUUAGUGAUGUAUCCCCUCCCACAACAGGGAAAUUUCCUUCUAGAGAUAGGAUAGGGCAAGUCCAUGGAGGAGAGCACUCUGUUCUUUUUUCCUAGUAGAAUUAUUAAUCACUCUUCUUUCAUCCAAGUUUGAAUGCCUUAUUGCUGGUCACUUUGCUUUUCUUGAAACCAUGAUGCUAUUCCAUAAUGAGAACAUGUUUUUAAAGAGGUAGAAAAACCAAAAACUCCCCUCCCCCCAAAAUGGACAACAUGUCCCUAUGGGUUAGAGGCUCUAAAAGAAUUCACUGGAGGUAAGAAUAAAAGAAGGAAAGACGGCCUGAGUGAUCCCACCAAGUUUCUUUCUUAUCCUCUUAAAUAAUCACAUGUAGCCUUUCAAGAAAGCAGUUUGCUAUUAACAUCAAAGGAAAUUUCUCCUUGAAGCAAGAUGAGAUGAGUCAAGCAAGAUUGGAAACUGGUCCAAGAUAAAUAUUUUAAGGCAAUAUGAAAAUAUUUGGGACAUUGUGGUAGGAUAAAAGGGAAUUAAUGGACUGUUGCUGAACUAAAGGAAAAUCAGUAAUGGUAUUAAAGGAAAUAUCCUCAUGGAGUUGAUUCUAACGGUGGUGUGGUAGACGACCGAGCAUGGUCAGAGAGCAACUGUGUGUUACCAGGCUAUGAGACUAAAUAAUUUAAAGCAGUGAUCCCACCUAGAUGUGUGUGAGCGUUCACUGGCUGGCAGAAAAUAAAGCGCAUUUGUCUGAUCUCUGUUUGACUUACUCCAUGAGUUUCCACGAUCUGCGAUGACCUGAUCAUAGAAAGAAUGCAAGACCUCACUGCCUCCUAUCACCCCAUCCUGAAAAUUCCCUAGCUUCCCAUUGUCAUGAUGUCAGCCCCCAUUGUCUUCUUCAGCACAGAGCGAUCCAGACUUUGUUAUAGAAAUUGUAGUGCAUCACACAGAUUCUCCCUGUUCCUAUAGGAGUAUAGUCAUUCUGG